This is a long non-coding RNA of Octopus sinensis (East Asian common octopus), 544 nucleotides long. RefSeq lists it as uncharacterized. The transcript has 3 exons. The record is from RefSeq and is a predicted model, not a curated record. NCBI's taxonomy places the organism in Eukaryota, Metazoa, Mollusca, Cephalopoda, Octopoda, Octopodidae.
GUACACAUGCAUGCUCAUGCGUUAUACACAUGUAGUAUUGUAAUGUCACUUCUUUAACCUGAACAGUGUGUGUGUGUGUGUGUGUUUUGGUGCUGUUGCAGUUAAUGAGGCUGUCAUGUCCCCAUUAGAGGAUAUUUUUACUAACAAGUUCAGCAAAGGCAAUGGCUGUGAGAUUAAGAACCUUGCUCUGCAGCCACGAGGUUUUAGGUUCAGUACCACUACACAGCACCUUGGGAAAGGUGCAAGGCCACAAAUCAAUAAAUGGAAGAAAAUGAAGCUGUGUGACAUUGAUGACUUCCUUAGACACCGAAGUGACAUAACAGAUACGAUGUGUCUGUAAAUGAAAGAACAGCAAAAGUUCUGUUGUCAUUUGUUUUCAAGCAGAAGGAGACUUGUGUUAGAGGAUAUUGAAAAUAAGACCUAAACUGUGAAAGACGGAAUUGAAUUAAUGCCUUUUCAAGGACGCCAGCAAAAGUAAAUAGAUGUCGAGUUUAUAGACUUGGUGAAAUCAAAUGUAAAUGUGUGUUGAGUAAACAUUUAUUGC